RNAcentral lists this long non-coding RNA (235 nucleotides) under Elaeis guineensis (African oil palm). RNAcentral describes it as "long non-coding RNA (EGUI_LNC009844)". Lineage: Eukaryota; Viridiplantae; Streptophyta; Magnoliopsida; Arecales; Arecaceae. The record is from RNAcentral.
GGUCAUAAUAUAUUUUUUGGAUCCAAGGUUUGUUUGGCUCUUUGUAGUAUUUCCACCACUAUUUGAGGAGCUAACUCUUGUUGAGUAGUGAGAGGUUUGAGAUGCCCAGGCCCCCAAAUUUCUUGAGAUGACAUACAUGACUCCAUGCUGCCAAACAUUUGAGCUAUUGUUGUUGAUGCCCCACAAGAAGGAUCUGCACAUCUUAUCAAUCUUUUUGAUAACUAAGGCUGGGAUG